Molecule: long non-coding RNA, 3493 nt
Organism: Bos taurus (domestic cattle)
Lineage: Eukaryota; Metazoa; Chordata; Mammalia; Artiodactyla; Bovidae
Source: Ensembl
CAGUAUUUGUCAGAGAGGGGAAUUCGAUCACCAUUUAUACGUGUGACAUUUAAGCUGUUCAGCUUUUCCCUUUUCCUCUUGACACAAUACAUCGUUUCGAGGGCACCUCUGUACUUAUGAGAGAAGUUUAAGCCAUGUAUCAUCGGAUGCUGAAACAUUACUCAUUAGGAACAAAAGAUGACCACAAAAUUUCAGAGGAAUCAAUUUGCCAGUUUAGGAAACAAGUGCUUAAAGUUACUUCUCUUUUCCCUUCUUACUCAUGAAGUGAAUUGGUCUUAAGUUUCUUUUGAGUCAAUUAACUGAUUAAUUCACCACUAAGAUUCAGUCACCAGAGUGAUUUGUACAUGAGCAAGGUGAAAUCAUUCUCAACUGUUGACCAAAUGAGUUUCAGACAUAUGUGAAGAUCAGCCUCCAGUCUGGUUGUUUAUUGGAUACUAGUAUUUUGCAUUUCAACUAACGUAGUUCUCUUUCAGCUUUUUAAAUGACCAUUUACACAAAGAAGCUAAGGAGGGAAAAGACCAGUCAAUUCCUCCAAUCCACGCAUGGAUGCUCCAAGCACCAUCUGUCCCCCCAUACCAGGCAAAGGUGUAAGGCCUGACUUUCAGAUAGCAAAUUGCUUUGGUUUUCUUCCCAAAUUCCUAUUGAAGUAGCAUUCUCCGAAUACCCGGGAGACAGGUGUUCUCCCAGACCAAGACGAUCUGGUGGUUGAGCAGCGAAGUACUCUGUAAGCCAACACCGCCUUCCCCAGCCUUCUGACCACCAAGCCCCUAGAAGAGGGAGUGCAGGGAGACGGAUGGCAGCCUGAACACAGAAAACAGCCCCGGUUGGCAGACCCUUCCUCAGCAAUUCCCCCCUCAGCCUCAUGCUUCACUUGCAAAGUGUGAUGUAACCACGGGACGAGUGCCUUGCUUGAACCAAAGCAACGAUUUAGCCAGUCUGGACUUCUCUGUGCUUUUUUUUAAUCCUUCCUGUGAAUACCUCAGCUUCCACUGGGCCUCCAUACAGUAAAUUGGUGGGCUUAUUGUACUGUGGUGCUUUGCAAUGCAACCCUGCAAACAACGAGAUUUGUACUAAUACCAAAGGUUCUUUCUCUGUCUCUCCUCUGCCUCCCCUGUUCUUCUCCCUUUUCUAGUUCUUCACGGUUCCAAAGCUUUAAUAUGAACCUGGGCAUGUUGGCAAUGCAGACCGCGCAAUUCCUUACCGAAUUUUCUCAGAUAUACCUCAUAGAUAAUAGUGUUUAGAGUAAUGUUAUUAUAGCGUAUGUAAUAAAUUAUUCACUGUUUCUUUUGGUAACUGUGAUUUAAAAAAAGAAAAAAGAAAAAAAAAAAAGCUUUAUACGUUUUAGGUUGUGCUUUUGUAAUAGAUGAAAAGGUGAGCUUAAAAAAAAAUGUAUGGUUUUCACCCCCCCCCCUUUGAAUUUUAUUUAUUCUGGAUUGGGGAAAGUUGCAGAAUGAGCCCAAAGUUUACAGUUUCAUAUUUUGCUGAAGAAACAAUCUGUGUUCAUUUGCUCUGUUGAAAAAAAAAAUUUAUUAUUUUCUACAUUUGUGCUACUUGGUCUGAACAAUUAAUUGUUCUGUGUUAACAGUGUAGUAUUAUAAUUAGCAACUGCCAAUCAGUGCUAUAAUUUUAUGCAUGAGGCUAAAAAUUUAGCAGUGUGAUGCAUUGUGGUCUUAAAUAGCAACGGUUUUCAUUUUGAACUAGAUCUUCCCCUUUGGUUCAUGGACUUGAUGUAUGCAUGGGCGCCAAAUUGUUCAUUAGUGGUUGUGGAACGGUUGUGUAUACAUUAAACUGUGAAAAUGUACACAGUUCAGCCUCAGACAGUGGUAAUAUUGGUUUUAUUGGGAGCUGUCUCACCUCGAAAAUACCUUGACCUCUGUUGGGAUUUCAAACCGAGUCAGACUCAAUCGAGUUCACGUGCGAGGAGAAGGGUCGUUCCGAGUCUGAGCUCGCCACCUCGCAUCCCCCAGAUUCUCAUAACCCAUUAUCUCACGCCAUGCGAGAGGAGCUUGGAAACGAGCACUGAAAAACAGCUCUGCAUCUUAAGUUCCCACAAGAGAGUCCUUUUGACUUUCUGCUCCUGACCUCAGACAUAACUGGCCACCUGUAUGGAGAUGCAGAUCGACCCAGGACUCGCCUCUCCUGGGUCUUUGCUUGGGGAUGGCCACUUCGUGCUCGAUUUCCUAGAAGAAGACUGGAGUAUUCUGUCAGGGCAGUUCAGAUGGCGUCAGUAUCAUUCAUUGUUCUCUGGGUUCUCUGUCCCUUUUCCUGGACAACGCCACCAGCUGUUCCAGUUUUUGGGGGGCAAAGAUAGAUGGCCAUUCCUAAAAGCUUCACCUGUGCACCCAUAUCAUGGAUUUUCCUCCCUAGAGUGAGAGAUGGUUCUAGCUUACUCUUUUCUGCCCAACAAUGUUGCAUCUAUCCUAAAGCGGGUAUAAGAAGUUUUGAAACCUAGUUUAGUAAAACCUUCUUUGUAUAAACUCCCUAAUUAUCUGAGGCCCCUAUAUUUCUCAAAAAGUAUUUUCACUUGCAGUGGAUUGGGCAAACUCGUUCUUUCUUAUUUUGGGUCCCGAGGCCCAUUCUCAAGUUUCAUACCUAUUCCCCCAGUCAACAUGCUUGACAUAAAACCAAAUCAGUUGCCAAGCACACUUUGUUUUGCAUAGGAGUGCAGCUUAGGAAACAGCAGUGGGAAGGCCGCAGCCCGCUCUGCAAAAUGUUGGAAAUCACCCCACGGUAGCACAUUGAUAUGACCAUCCAUGAGAAUAUACUGAAAAUGCGCUUUCAUUAAUAAUGCCAAGAAACAUUUUAUUUGGCCUUAUAAAGUAGAUCGUGAUAAUGAAAGCUUUGUAAUAGAUAGUCUUGAUUUCUUCCCUUAUUAAUCUGCCAAAGACAGGAAUGGAUACAAGAAUUUUAAGUCGAUUUUUGUUGACCAUUUAUGAUUGUAAUCGUGUUUAAUCUUCCAGAAAGCUUUCUAUGUUCUUCCGCCGUAAAACCAAAUGGAUGUUUCAGUCAAGUUCUCCUCACCCUCACAAACCUACACACGAAUCCUUUCGAAGCAGGUAUUGUAGAAUCUACGAAAUUCAAAUGUAUUUUAAUCCGAAGUAAACAGAGGAGUGUCUGAGACAUGAGUGUGCCCAACAGUUUUUAUUAUGAGAGACGCAUGGGUCUGGCUUAUUAACUAGCAUUUGCCAAGAAGACUUGUCUUAUGAAACUCGAGGUAUAUUUUGUUAUGCCAUUUUAUGUCCUUUUUUUUAAAAAAAAAAAACUUUGUGGAAAGUGAUAUGUUGAAUCAAGUGUAAGCUGAGUUUUCCAGACAACUGAAGUAGCUACAUCGUGAAUGUUAUUUUGUUAUUAAAGGGUUUUUACUCAAUGCUUGUGCCAGUGGAUGUCCUUUUCCUUGGAGACACAGAACUAUGGAAGUGCCUCACCUGGGCCUGGGUUUCCCUCCUGCUCUCUUGGGGACAUGUGGGCCUGGCCUGGGAAAGGAAGGUCAUGG